Molecule: long non-coding RNA, 971 nt
Organism: Lycium ferocissimum
Lineage: Eukaryota; Viridiplantae; Streptophyta; Magnoliopsida; Solanales; Solanaceae
Exons: 2
Source: RefSeq, a predicted model, not a curated record
GCCUGUUCUAUAAGAAUAACCCACAAUUGGGCCAGCCCAACUACCCAGAUUUCUAUUUUGAGCAUAACACGGUCCAACCGUGACAAUUCCAUUCCUCUUCUCCUCGGUAUCAUUGUCUCUUAUGGAUUGAAGUCGGGAAAUUAUGACCAGAGAAAUGUGUAAUCUUCCCAAGUUGCCUCUUCCUUACCCAGAUUUGCCCAUUCAACUAGAACUUAAGUCACCCCUUGAUUUCCCUUUUUUACUAGUUUCCUCUCCAAGAUCGCCACUGGUUCAGCCAAGAUUUGUCCAUCAUCCUUGCAAUAUGGGGGUUCUCUGGACGGAACCACUUUGUCCCAUAUCUUCUUCUUCAAUUGUGACGCAUGAAACAUGGGGUGGAUCUUCGAGCUUUGGGGGAGCUUCAGUUCAUAUGCGACGACCCUAAUUUUAUGAAUUACUUCGUAAGGCCCAUAGUACUUGGUAGAGAGCUUGAGAUUCCUCCGAACUGCUACUGACAUUUGACUGUAUGGUUGCAAUUUAAAACCUUAUUGAUUAACUGCCUUUUCUUCAGUUCCUGAUCAACUAACUCUAAUUUGGACUGGGAAAUGAGUUCGAAAGAUGGUUGUGGUGGCUCAUACCCAUAUAAGGCCUUGAAGGUGGUCAUUCCUAUAGCAGAUUGGUAAUUGCAAUUAUACCAAAAUUCUUCCAUAGGAAUCCAUUUACUCCAAUCUUUGGGUUUAUGGCCAUUCAUACACCUUAGGUACGAUUCGAUGCCUUUGAUUGAGUCUCUCCGAUUGUCCAUCCGUCUGGGGACAGUAAGCAGAGCUUAAUUUCCAUUCUACUUACAACCCCUUGAAUAAUUAUUUCCAAAAUGUACUUGUAAAUAUCAGGUCUCUAUCUGAAAGAACUGAACUUGGAACGCCAUGUAGCUUGCAAACAUUAUCUAGGAACAGUUGAGCAACUUGAUUUGCAUUAUAGGGGUGCGUUAGGGUAAA